UUGCUUCAGCAGCACAUAUACUAAAAUUGGAACAAUACCAAGAAGAUUAGCAUUGCCUGUGUGCAAGGAUAACAUGCAAAUUUUUGAAGCAUUCCAUAUUUAU
Choloepus didactylus (southern two-toed sloth) is the source of this 103-nucleotide small nuclear RNA. NCBI's taxonomy places the organism in Eukaryota, Metazoa, Chordata, Mammalia, Pilosa, Megalonychidae. The record is from RefSeq and is a predicted model, not a curated record.